AAUCUGCCUAGAGGAUGGGGACAACCACGGGAAACUGUGGCUAAUACCCAAUGAGCGGAGACGUUAAAGAUUUAUCGCCUCUAGAGGAGCUCGCGUCUGAUUAGCUAGUUGGUGGGGUAAAAGCCUACCAAGGCGACGAUCAGUAGCUGGUCUGAGAGGACAACCAGCCACACUGGGACUGAGACACGGCCCAGACUCCUACGGGAGGCAGCAGUGGGGAAUUUUCCGCAAUGGGCGAAAGCCUGACGGAGCAAUACCGCGUGAGGGAGGAAGGCUCUUGGGUCGUAAACCUCUUUUCUCAGGGAAGAAGAAAGUGACGGUACCUGA
RNAcentral lists this ribosomal RNA (327 nucleotides) under uncultured cyanobacterium. RNAcentral describes it as "bacterial SSU rRNA". It matches the Rfam family "Bacterial small subunit ribosomal RNA", at positions 123 to 482 of the family's 1533-position model. The record is from RNAcentral. Lineage: Bacteria; Bacillati; Cyanobacteriota.